GAGUCAUUGCCUCGUUUGUUUGAACUUCGAACCAUAUUAUUUUAGUUUGUGCUUUCAUUCUAUUGUAGAUUGUGUGUAUCUGGGUCUGGUUUUUCUGACCAAUUUGAGUGUUGUUGAUUUGUCUGGAUUUUUUUGUACAUAUGUUUUUUUUUUUGUUCAUUGGGUGAUAUCAAAUAAAAGAAAGCUCGUGAUUUUAUUUUAUUGUUCAUCGGGGUGUAUCACGGGAUCCGUUUAUUUCAUUUAUUUUGUUUUUCUGAUGCAUUCUUUCUGCCUGACCAUUGAAGUAACGAAAAUAGCAUUUAUAAUUUAUUCCAUUGUUUGAAGAAGUUUAAAUAUAUUUGCGUAAAUUGGUAAGCAAUGAAUAAAUUUUGCAACUUCAGAAAGUAGACCAAUGUUAUUCAGAUUCUAUAUAUAUAUAUAUUCAUAUAAAUGGGGUGAUAGUCUAUAAAACCAGAGCUCACUGUGCAAGCUGAGCCAAUCAUGGACCCUUAUGGCCCUUCUAUAGUUGAUGAAAAUUUGGAAGCUAUAGUGGUCAGUAAGGAGACUUUACCAGGUGGAGUUUCAGUCAAUAAAAAGAGAGUUGAAAAAGGGCUUUCACAACUAAAGCUUAAAACAAUGGCCAUGAGUACUUAUCCCCAAAAAAAUCAAAGCUCUAUCUCGUCGUUCUCCUGACUCCGCUACUCUCUCCAUUUCGCUGUCAUCUCUUGGUUUUUCGAGGUACUCUUGCUCGUCUUUGGUGUGCGUGGCGUCGUCUCCGGUGGUGGCUGUUCUCUCUUCUUGUUAAAGGUUAAUAUUUUGAUUGGUCUUAAAGCAUUGGAUUGGUAGUUAAUUGCAAGAGUUCACCUCCGACAAGCCAUAUACUACUCAAGAAAUUGACAAAGUUAGAGAAGAAUGGGCAAUGUUAUUUUUACAUUUGGUUAGAGCAAAAUGAAUGAUGUUAUAGCUAGCUAAUUACAAUACAUGUUUAGAAAUUUUAAAUUUAUUUCGUAAAAUUUUUUUGCCAUUUUUUUAGUAUUUUCUUUUCAAAUUUCUUU
Long non-coding RNA from Humulus lupulus (European hop), 1034 nucleotides. RefSeq lists it as uncharacterized. The transcript is spliced from 5 exons. Lineage: Eukaryota; Viridiplantae; Streptophyta; Magnoliopsida; Rosales; Cannabaceae. The record is from RefSeq and is a predicted model, not a curated record.